UUCUGGGCAGCUGUUGGAUGCAAGCCAGUCCUCUAUGCAAUCAGCUACAACACUGAGUGCAGGCCACCCGCACAUUCUCUGGGGAACAGCAUCUUCUCCAACUGAAGCCUCGGCCAUUAAUGAAAACAAAACUAAUUGUAACUUUAACAUUUCACAGCCUGUAAUUUGUACCCACUCCUUUCCUGGACUUCCCAGCGGAAUAUUACUGUCUGACACCAUCCUCCUUACCCCUCAGUAAUACAUUUAUUAAAUGGAUCACAAUAGACCGAGACUGAAACUGUGGGACUGAGGAAGUUUUGAGAAUUAGCUUCAAGCGGAAGCCAGAGACGAAUAGCGAAAGGGAGAGAGCUACUGUGAGCAAGUCUUUACCCGCAGAGGAAAAGAGAGAGAGAGAGGUAGAUAUGCGGGUCAGCUUUGGGACGUCCCAUUAAACAUCAGAGCACUGUCAGUGACUACACAAUACGGAGCUACCAGGACUCUCUUCAAUCCAGACGCGGGUCACAUCACCCUUCAAGGGCACGCCGCAGAAACCGUCCAAAGGGAGGGAAAAAUAUGCAGGAAUUCCGGUCACGUUUGGGAGAACCUGUUUGCUGGACUAAACUGCUGGAGCGUAGCCCUUUUCUCUAGAAGGUGAAGUUUCACCUACAAGCAGAAAUUUCAGCUGCUAAGACAUGCCUCUACUGGAAACAGUCAUUCAGAGGAAGAUCCACUCCUUGCACAAACACUUUUGCUGUUUAAUGGAUAAGGAAGAGCUCAAGAUAAAAGUCAGAAUUGCACUUAUCUUGACUUCAGGACGUUCCAGGCAAUUUACAGCCAGUGAAGCAUUAUGAAGUGUCAUCACUGUUGUAAUGGUAUUGUUUGUACAUGGCAAAUUCUCAGAGGAGAAGCUGUUAAAUAAUCUGCUUCAGUGAUGUUAGGGAUUAAAUAUUGGCUAGAAUACGGAGGAACGCUCCUCUCUCCUGGAAUGCGUGCUAUAUAUUUCGGCAGUGCAACUUGUAGAUAGUAAACGUUGCUACUACUGAGCUUCAGUGUUGGAGGUAGUGAAUGUUUGUGAAUGUGAUGCCAUUCAAGUGGGCUGUU
Chiloscyllium plagiosum (whitespotted bambooshark) is the source of this 1080-nucleotide non-coding RNA. The record is from RefSeq and is a predicted model, not a curated record. NCBI's taxonomy places the organism in Eukaryota, Metazoa, Chordata, Chondrichthyes, Orectolobiformes, Hemiscylliidae.